GUUAUAUGGUCAAGUGAAGAAGCGCAUACGGUGGAUGCCUUGGCAGUCAGAGGCGAUGAAAGACGUGGUAGCCUGCGAUAAGCUUCGGGGAGUCGGCAAACAGACUUUGAUCCGGAGAUCUCUGAAUGGGGAAACCCACCUGGGAUAACC
RNAcentral lists this ribosomal RNA (150 nucleotides) under Pseudomonas sp. ATCC 13867. RNAcentral's name for it is "partial 23S ribosomal RNA". It matches the Rfam family "Bacterial large subunit ribosomal RNA", at positions 1 to 143 of the family's 2925-position model. Lineage: Bacteria; Pseudomonadati; Pseudomonadota; Gammaproteobacteria; Pseudomonadales; Pseudomonadaceae. The record is from RNAcentral.